AACGAACGCUGGCGGCGCGCUUAAUACAUGCAAGUCGAACGAGAAGGUGUAGCAAUACACUUGUAAAGUGGCGAACGGGUGAGGAAUACAUGGGUAACCUACCCUCGAGUGGGGAACAACCAGCCGAAAGGUUGGCUAAUACCGCGUACGCUUCCGGGUCUUCGGAUUCGGAAGGAAAGUCAUACCGUGGGUAUGACGCUCAAGGAUGGGCUCAUGUCCUAUCAGCUUGUUGGUAGGGUAACGGCCUACCAAGGCUUCGACGGGUAGCUGGUCUGAGAGGACGAUCAGCCACACUGGCACUGCGACACGGGCCAGACUCCUACGGGAGGCAGCAGUAAGGAAUAUUGCGCAAUGGGCGAAAGCCUGACGCAGCGACGCCGCGUGGGGGAUGAAGGUCUUCGGAUUGUAAACCCCUUUCGGGAGGGAAGAUGGACGAGCAAUCGUUCGGACGGUACCUCCAGAAGCAGCCACGGCUAACUUCGUGCC
Molecule: ribosomal RNA, 486 nt
Filed under: uncultured bacterium
Lineage: Bacteria
Description: bacterial SSU rRNA
Rfam family: Bacterial small subunit ribosomal RNA
Source: RNAcentral